CCUACGGGAGGCAGCAGUGGGGAAUAUUGGACAAUGGGCGAAAGCCUGAUCCAGCCAUGCCGCGUGUGUGAAGAAGGUCUUCGGAUUGUAAAGCACUUUAAGUUGGGAGGAAGGGCAUUAACCUAAUACGUUAGUGUUUUGACGUUACCGACAGAAUAAGCACCGGCUAACUCUGUGCCAGCAGCCGCGGUAAUACAGAGGGUGCAAGCGUUAAUCGGAAUUACUGGGCGUAAAGCGCGCGUAGGUGGUUUGUUAAGUUGGAUGUGAAAUCCCCGGGCUCAACCUGGGAACUGCAUUCAAAACUGACUGACUAGAGUAUGGUAGAGGGUGGUGGAAUUUCCUGUGUAGCGGUGAAAUGCGUAGAUAUAGGAAGGAACACCAGUGGCGAAGGCGACCACCUGGACUAAUACUGACACUGAGGUGCGAAAGCGUGGGGAGCAAACGAGGAUUAGACUACCCUGGUAGUCCACGCCGUAAACGNUGUACACUGCGUUGGUAGCUGNGCUCUAGUGCGC
This 515-nucleotide ribosomal RNA is filed under the name uncultured bacterium. RNAcentral describes it as "bacterial SSU rRNA". It matches the Rfam family "Bacterial small subunit ribosomal RNA", at positions 338 to 848 of the family's 1533-position model. The record is from RNAcentral.